This is a non-coding RNA of Takifugu rubripes (torafugu), 83 nucleotides long. The record is from Rfam. Lineage: Eukaryota; Metazoa; Chordata; Actinopteri; Tetraodontiformes; Tetraodontidae.
GUCAGGAUGGCCGAGGGGUCUAAGGCGCUGCGUUCAGGUCGCAGUCUCCUCUGGAGGCGUGGGUUCGAAUCCCACUUCUGACA